This 28-nucleotide non-coding RNA is filed under the name Mus musculus (house mouse). The record is from RNAcentral. Lineage: Eukaryota; Metazoa; Chordata; Mammalia; Rodentia; Muridae.
UAGUCUAUAGGAGACAGAUCUCAGUGAG